GACGAACGCUGGCGGCGUGCUUAACACAUGCAAGUCGAACGGAAAGGCCCCUUUGGGGGUACUCGAGUGGCGAACGGGUGAGUAACACGUGAGUAACCUGCCCUUGUCUUCGGGAUAACUUCAGGAAACUGGGGCUAAUACCGGAUAGGAAUCCUUGCUGCAUGGUGGGGGUUGGAAAGCUUCGGCGGUUUUGGAUGGACUCGCGGCUUAUCAGCUUGUUGGUGGGGUAGUGGCUUACCAAGGCUUUGACGGGUAGCCGGCCUGAGAGGGCGACCGGCCACAUUGGGACUGAGAGACGGCCCAGACUCCUACGGGAGGCAGCAGUGGGGAAUAUUGCACAAUGGGCGGAAGCCUGAUGCAGCAACGCCGCGUGCGGGAUGACGGCCUUCGGGUUGUAAACCGCUUUCAGCAGGGGCGAAGCUUGUGGUGACGGUACCUGCAGAAGAAGCACCGGCUAACUACGUG
RNAcentral lists this ribosomal RNA (465 nucleotides) under uncultured bacterium. Its description in RNAcentral is "partial 16S ribosomal RNA". It matches the Rfam family "Bacterial small subunit ribosomal RNA", at positions 28 to 507 of the family's 1533-position model. The record is from RNAcentral.